Molecule: ribosomal RNA, 409 nt
Filed under: uncultured bacterium
Lineage: Bacteria
Description: bacterial SSU rRNA
Rfam family: Bacterial small subunit ribosomal RNA
Source: RNAcentral
GAGUUUGAUCCUGGCUCAGGAUGAACGCUAGCUACAGGCUUAACACAUGCAAGUCGAGGGGCAGCAUUUUAGUUUGCUUGCAAACUAAAGAUGGCGACCGGCGCACGGGUGAGUAACACGUAUCCAACCUGCCGAUAACUCGGGGAUAGCCUUUCGAAAGAAAGAUUAAUAUCCGAUAGUAUAUUAAAACCGCAUGGUUUUACUAUUAAAGAAUUUCGGUUAUCGAUGGGGAUGCGUUCCAUUAGUUUGUUGGCGGGGUAACGCCCACCAAGACUACGAUGGAUAGGGGUUCUGAGAGGAAGGUCCCCCACAUUGGAACUGAGACACGGUCCAAACUCCACGGGAGGCAGCAGUGGGGAAUAUUGCACAAUGGGCGAAAGCCUGAUGCAGCGACGCCGCGUGAGCGAAG